AAUAAGUAUAGUUUGGCACUAUUCAUGCCUAACGUUUGACUGUUCGUCUUAUUUGAAUUUUUUUAUUAAUAUUUGUUGUUAGUAGAUGAUAAAACAUGAAUAGUACUUUAUGUGUGACUAUUUUUUUAAAAUUUUCUUAAUAAAUUUUUCAAAUAAGACAGAUGGUUAAACGUUGGACAUAGAUACCCACGACUAUACUUGUU
Molecule: non-coding RNA, 203 nt
Organism: Oryza glumipatula
Lineage: Eukaryota; Viridiplantae; Streptophyta; Magnoliopsida; Poales; Poaceae
Source: Rfam